This 497-nucleotide ribosomal RNA is filed under the name uncultured bacterium. RNAcentral describes it as "partial 16S ribosomal RNA". It matches the Rfam family "Bacterial small subunit ribosomal RNA", at positions 28 to 507 of the family's 1533-position model. The record is from RNAcentral.
GAUGAACGCUGGCGGCGUGCCUAAUACAUGCAAGUCGAGCGAACAGACGAGGAGCUUGCUCCUCUGACGUUAGCGGCGGACGGGUGAGUAACACGUGGAUAACCUACCUAUAAGACUGGGAUAACUUCGGGAAACCGGAGCUAAUACCGGAUAACAUGUUGAACCGCAUGGUUCAACAGUGAAAGACGGUCUUGCUGUCACUUAUAGAUGGAUCCGCGCCGCAUUAGCUAGUUGGUAAGGUAACGGCUUACCAAGGCAACGAUGCGUAGCCGACCUGAGAGGGUGAUCGGCCACACUGGAACUGAGACACGGUCCAGACUCCUACGGGAGGCAGCAGUAGGGAAUCUUCCGCAAUGAGCGAAAGCCUGACGGAGCAACGCCGCGUGAGUGAAGAAGGUCUUCGGAUCGUAAAACUCUGUUAUUAGGGAAGAACAAAUGUGUAAGUAACUAUGCACGUCCUGACGGUACCUAAUCAGAAAGCCACGGCUAACUACGUG